GGAAGUGGCAGAGGGGUAAGUUGUGUCGAGUGAGAGAAGGAGAGUCCAGAGCGUGAGGGGGCGAGAAGAGUCGGGGAGGAGCAGCUUAGCCAGCUCCUGAGCAGAGGUGGCCUAGCCGCACGUACCGUUAACGCGCAACCUUAGCGGCGCGGGCCGCGGAAGGAGAGGCAGAGCGAGCAGGCCGCGAACCUCGGAGGCGAGCAAGCGCCGAAGGUGGCUGGAUACGCCGACGCGACGCGGGAUGGGACGGGUCCACGACCUCCCCGCACACCACUAACGUCGGCAGUGGUCACCGACGUGGUCCUCCAGAGGUGAGAAGUAGCGGACGAGGCCGGUCUAGGUCAACUUGAACGAGCCAAUAGGUGGCGAAGUGCACGUAUACCCACAUCCUCCGCUGCUGGGUUGGACGGGCCAUCGAGUUGUCACGGAGGGACGGGUACAAGAAGCCGUCGUUGUCAGAGGGAAUACGCCAAACACGUAAGGUUCGGACGGAAUCCUGUGGGGAACACUAUCAUACGGAUUCUAUUUCUGUUCGACACAACUUAUAUGACUUCCCACCCACGAAUAACUUGGGUAUUAGGUACUCGACCUACCGUUUUAAUCUCUUCGAACUUUUGCUAUGUGUACUGCCCUUAUUUUUCACGCUUCGUGAGACCGGUUAAAAAGCGUAAAGAGUAGGUUCUUCGGCAAUGUAUAAUACAUAUUACUAGAAAAGAUAUCUUCUUCCUUCCUAUAUAGUUUCCUCGACUUACUAGCAAAGAUGGUCCCAAUACGUCUGGCAUUAGACUAACGUUUCACCUUUUUCAUAGUUCUCUUCGUAUCAUUCUAUUAUUUCCAACAAACAUCUAAAACUCAGACUGUAGUAUCAAAAGGUAGUUCCACUCAUUAAAGUCGGUCGAGGGAUCCCAGAUUAUAUUCUAUGUAAUAUCGCUAUGAAAUCGUAUAUUACAUCAUGAGGGAGGCAAGGAUUUAUAUUCAGAAACAUCUCUAAUGUGAUACCUGGUGUAUGCCUACAUAUAUCUACGUAAAUCUCAAAUGCAAGUGAGUAAAACGAGGCAUACAUCAGGUAUCACUGAGAUGUUUCUGAAGAUAAAUCCUUGCCUCCCUCAUAUACCUAUUAUGUAUUCGUACGUCAUGUUCCCGUAAAAUUGGAACCCAGUACCGGUCCCCACAUACACGAUGUAAACGAGUAGUGAUUCAUCACAACAAAGACGGACAAAGAAAAGUGCCCGAACUGCUGCAGAAAAUUCUUAUGGUAGAGAUAACGCACGUAUUAUAAGAAAUCCCAGACAUAUUUAUUCAUGACGUUCAAUCGUGUGUUCGUUCUCGUUUUUAUCAUCGUCUUUCAUCCUAGACCAGCUACUAUCAGUGGGUUACUAACCAACAACGAACAUAGGACUUUACCCCACGAACCCAGACAUAUUAUGUAUCGCGUUCAGUCUUGUGUUCAUUGUCGUCUUUGUCAUCUUGUCUCAUCCUUCACCAACGACUAUCAAUGGGUUACAAACCAACAACGAAUAUAGAACUUUACCCCACGAGCCAGGGCGUGCUAACCCUCUACUGUAUGGUAGCGGAAGUACACUUAUAAGUACAGUAGUUUAAUAAUCUUCGUACAUAUAACACGUAUAUUAGUACUUGUAGUUGUAGUCUUCGUUCAAAAGAUAAUGACUGACGUUCUUCUAUUCGUUAUAAACAAAACAGACACAUUUUUAUGAUGUGUCAGGAAAAACAGCUAUAUAAGACACAGUUGUCUCAACAUGUUAUCCAACGUACAAAGUCAGUCAAUCUUCUAACGUUAUCGGCUUUGUGAUUGGUAAAAGGUGUAUCUUUAGUCAUUAAUCUCUACAUUUAACCUAGUAAGAUUACAUCUGACCACGCUACAUAGAAAGGAUACGGGAUCCAUACCAUCUUACCACACGUGAACGUCCCGUACAUUACAAACUAGACAAGAUAUUUCUAUCCGUUACCUCAUAUUGACAAGACUUUUAACAUUAGAACUCACGUCCCUUCUUAAUGUCGACCAGGUCCCCGGCACGUCCCGCCCCCACCCCCGCCAGCACGCCCACGGCCCGCCCGAGGACCAGUGACCUCUAGACCGCCUGAAGACGGUGCGACGCUCCCCCGUCCCGCCGGAGGACCCGCGGGCGAUGCAACUAGGACGUCCCUCCGCCGACCCGCCACCUCACCGCGCUCCAGCAGCACGCCCUCUUCUACAACCACACUACCACUGCUUCCGUCCCUGCGAGGACCCUCUAACCCGCUCCCCUUAGUUAAGGAAGGAAAUCAGACGCUAAUCUAAACGCACUAAAAACCCUCUGCGCCCUGGCCAUCAACCUCCCAACCACCUCGUGCCGGUCAGUAACAUUUAACGGUUCAGGUGUGGCAUUUAGAUAAUCUACUUACUACCGACAAUGUACGUCUAAGCACCCUGAUUAGGCCGCCACCACUUACCCAGCAGGCCACACAUCCCCAUUAACGCCCCACGUGAAUUCUUUUAAGUACAACCUAACAAAUUAUCAUCACUUCUUCAUCUUAUUAAAUCUGGUCCG
RNAcentral lists this ribosomal RNA (2549 nucleotides) under Triticum aestivum (bread wheat). RNAcentral's name for it is "partial small subunit ribosomal RNA". Lineage: Eukaryota; Viridiplantae; Streptophyta; Magnoliopsida; Poales; Poaceae. The record is from RNAcentral.